This is a ribosomal RNA of 273 nucleotides. The stretch from base 91 to 273 matches the Rfam family "Eukaryotic small subunit ribosomal RNA", at positions 735 to 919 of the family's 1831-position model.
CUCAGUUACGGGCAGGUGGUUCACCUCACGGUGCUACUACCUGGUCCGGACCUAUUGCUGGUGCCCCCUAGGUGCCCUUCAUUGGGUGCCUGGGGAGACCAGAGCGUUUACUUUGAAAAAAUUGGAGUGCUCAAAGCAGGCGAAUGCCUGAACAGUCGUGCAUGGAAUAAUGGAAAAGGGCCUCGGUGCUAUUUUGUUGGUUCUCGGCACUCGAGGUAAUGGUUGAAGGGGACAGACGGGGGCAUUCGUAUUGCGACGUUAGAGGUGAAAUUC